This is a long non-coding RNA of Pezoporus occidentalis (night parrot), 239 nucleotides long. RefSeq lists it as uncharacterized. The transcript is spliced from 2 exons. Lineage: Eukaryota; Metazoa; Chordata; Aves; Psittaciformes; Psittacidae. The record is from RefSeq and is a predicted model, not a curated record.
GGGGAAGAGACUGUGGGAGAGAUCCAGAAUAAUAUAUGCAGUGCUAAAUACAAGCAAGUCAAUGGAUGGAAUUGCACUGCAGUGGAAUUUUACAGAGGAAGAAGACAGAAUGGUGUAAUACAUGUUGGAAAGUAUGUUGUCCAGAAAAUACUGACCUUAUUCUUUGUGGUUUUUAAAGGGACACAGUCAGUCACCUUGGAACAUAUUCCUUCAAUAAAUACCAAUUAAAAUUGGUUUGA